GACGAACGCUGGCGGCGUGCUUAACACAUGCAAGUCGAACGGAAAGGCCCUGCUCUUGCGGGGUGCUCGUGUGCCGAACGGGUGAGUAAAACGUGAGUAACCUGCCCCUGUCUUUGGGAUAACAUUAGGAAACUGGGGCUAAUAUCGGAUAGGAGAUCCUGCUCCAUGGUGGUGGAUGGAAAGAUUCGGCGGUUGGGGAUGGACUCGCGGGUUAUCAGCUGGUUGGUGUGGUAGGGGCGUACCAAGGCUUUGACGGGUAGCCCGCCUUGGAGGUGGACCGGCCACAUUGGGACUGAGGUACGGCCCAGACGCCAACGGGAGGCAGCAGUGGGGAAUAUUGCACAAUGAGCGGAAGCGUGAUGCAGAAACGCCGCGUGCGGGAUGACGGCCUUCGGGUUGUAAACCGCUUUGGCCUGUGACGAAGCGUGAGUGACGGUAAUGAGUAAGAAAGCAACGGCUAACUACGUG
RNAcentral lists this ribosomal RNA (468 nucleotides) under uncultured bacterium. RNAcentral's name for it is "partial 16S ribosomal RNA". It matches the Rfam family "Bacterial small subunit ribosomal RNA", at positions 28 to 507 of the family's 1533-position model. The record is from RNAcentral.